UACGUAGGGUCCAAGCAUUAUCCGGAAUUACUGGGCGUAAAGAGUUGCGUAGGUGGCAGAGUAAGCAGACAGUGAAAUCGUGUGGCUCAACCAUACACACAUUGCCUGAACUGCUCAGCUAGAAGAUGAGAGAGGUCGCUAGAAUUCCUAGUGUAGGAGUGAAAUCCGUAGAUAUUAGGAGGAAUACCGAUGGCGUAGGCAGGCGACUGGCUCAUUCUUGACACUAAGGCACGAAAGCGUGGGGAGCGAACGGG
Molecule: ribosomal RNA, 254 nt
Filed under: uncultured bacterium
Lineage: Bacteria
Description: partial 16S ribosomal RNA
Rfam family: Bacterial small subunit ribosomal RNA
Source: RNAcentral